Molecule: transfer RNA, 75 nt
Filed under: Chloroflexota bacterium
Lineage: Bacteria; Bacillati; Chloroflexota
Description: Chloroflexi bacterium (sediment metagenome) tRNA-Met
Rfam family: tRNA
About the family: Transfer RNA (tRNA) molecules are approximately 80 nucleotides in length. Their secondary structure includes four short double-helical elements and three loops (D, anti-codon, and T loops). Further hydrogen bonds mediate the characteristic L-shaped molecular structure. tRNAs have two regions of fundamental functional importance: the anti-codon, which is responsible for specific mRNA codon recognition, and the 3' end, to which the tRNAs corresponding amino acid is attached (by aminoacyl-tRNA synthetases). tRNAs cope with the degeneracy of the genetic code in two manners: having more than one tRNA (with a specific anti-codon) for a particular amino acid; and 'wobble' base-pairing, i.e. permitting non-standard base-pairing at the 3rd anti-codon position.
Source: RNAcentral
GGGCCCAUAGCUCAGUGGCAGAGCAGCUCCCUCAUAAGGAGUGGGUCGCGGGUUCGAAUCCUGCUGGGCCCACUA